GCAUGUCUAAGUAUAAGCAAUUGUACGGUGAAACUGCGAAUGGCUCAUUAAAUCAGUUAUCGUUUAUUUGAUAGUACCUUACUACUUGGAUAUCCGUGGUAAUUCUAGAGCUAAUACAUGCUUACAGCCCCGACUUCUGGAAGGGGCGAGUUUAUUAGAUAAAAAGCCGACGUUGUUGGUGAUUCAUGAUAACCUUUCGAAUCGCGAGUAAUCGCGAUGGUUCAUUCAAAUUUCUGCCCUAUCAAUUGAACCGUAGGGUAGUGGCCUACGGUGAUUUCUACGGGUAACGGGGAAUAAGGGUUCGAUUCCGGAGAGGGAGCCUGAGAAACGGCUACCACAUCCAAGGAAGGCAGCAGGCGCGCAAAUUACCCAAUCCCGACACGGGGAGGUAGUGACAAUAAAUAACGAUGCGGGGCACGUAUGUGUUUCGCAAUUGGAAUGAGUACAAUGUAAAUACCUUAACGAGGAACAAUUGGAGGGCAAGCCUGGUGCCAGCAGCCGCGGUAAUUCCAGCUCCAAAAGCGUAUAUUAAAGUUGUUGCAGUUAAAAAGCUCGUAGUUGAUUUUCGACGCAUCUGAGGGGUCCACUUCGGUGCGUACUCUGAGGGUGCGUUUUCUCUGGGGCGCCUUUUGGCAAGCCAGACUGUUACUUUGAAAAAAUUAGAGUGUUCAAAGCGGGCGAUAGCUUGAAUAUAUUAGCAUGGAAUAAUAGAAUAGGACGGAUGGAUCUAUUUUGUUGGUUUCUAGAACCAUCGUAAUGAUUAAUGGGCAUCGGCGGGGGCAUCGGUAUUCAAAUGUCAGAGGUGAAAUUCUUGGAUUA
RNAcentral lists this ribosomal RNA (819 nucleotides) under Diutina rugosa. Its description in RNAcentral is "SSU rRNA". It matches the Rfam family "Eukaryotic small subunit ribosomal RNA", at positions 53 to 927 of the family's 1831-position model. Lineage: Eukaryota; Fungi; Ascomycota; Pichiomycetes; Serinales; Debaryomycetaceae. The record is from RNAcentral.